Molecule: long non-coding RNA, 563 nt
Organism: Rhinichthys klamathensis goyatoka
Lineage: Eukaryota; Metazoa; Chordata; Actinopteri; Cypriniformes; Leuciscidae
Exons: 3
Source: RefSeq, a predicted model, not a curated record
GGUAAUUUGUUUUUCUUUAGACACACACAGAGGACCAAGUUGGUGCUGACUCUGAAGAAGAAGACACACAACUGCUCUGCAGAGAAGAGGCAGCUAGGCAACUCACUGAGCCAGAUGACAUAUCAGGUGGUGAUAUAGAAGAUGAAGAGCAAAACACACAAUGGUUGAGCAAUGAAGAGCAUAGCAGUUCAACCAAUCUUGAGGAUGGAAAUAUCCCAACCACCACUUGUAUCCAUGAUGGAGACCAGCCUUUGUAUCCUGGAGCCAAACUUUCAAAAGGUGAAAGUCUGACUGCACUUCUGGGCUACAUGCUACGCCACCAUGUGACCAAGGCAGGAAGUCAAGAUUUACUGCAUCUGCUGCAGAUCCUUCUCCCUGAAAACAGUUUACCCUCCACCAACUACAUGUUCAAUCGUGCUUUUGACACAACCAGCUGGCAGUUACAUCAUUAUUGUCUGAAUCCUGACUGUGGAGCUUACAUUGGCACACUCGAUGUCGAGAGUGUACUAUGUCCAAUGUGUGAUACAGAAUGCAAAGUAUCAGAAAAUCUGAGUAAAGGUUAU